This 468-nucleotide ribosomal RNA is filed under the name uncultured bacterium. RNAcentral describes it as "partial 16S ribosomal RNA". It matches the Rfam family "Bacterial small subunit ribosomal RNA", at positions 28 to 507 of the family's 1533-position model. The record is from RNAcentral.
GACGAACGCUGGCGGCGUGCUUAACACAUGCAAGUCGAACGGAAAGGCCCUGCUUUUGUGGGGUGCUCGAGUGGCGAACGGGUGAGUAACACGUGAGUAACCUGCCCUUGACUUUGGGAUAACUUCAGGAAACUGGGGCUAAUACCGGAUAGGAGCUCCUGCUGCAUGGUGGGGGUUGGAAAGUUUCGGCGGUUGGGGAUGGACUCGCGGCUUAUCAGCUUGUUGGUGGGGUAGUGGCUUACCAAGGCUUUGACGGGUAGCCGGCCUGAGAGGGUUGCCGGCCACAUUGGGACUGAGAUACGGCCCAGACUCCUACGGGAGGCAGCAGUGGGGAAUAUUGCACAAUGGGCGGAAGCCUGAUGCAGCAACGCCGCGUGCGGGAUGACGGCCUUCGGGUUGUAAACCGCUUUCGCCUGUGACGAAGCGUGAGUGACGGUAAUGGGUAAAGAAGCACCGGCUAACUACGUG